Molecule: ribosomal RNA, 434 nt
Filed under: uncultured Coprococcus sp.
Lineage: Bacteria; Bacillati; Bacillota; Clostridia; Lachnospirales; Lachnospiraceae
Description: partial 16S ribosomal RNA
Rfam family: Bacterial small subunit ribosomal RNA
Source: RNAcentral
ACGGGAGGCAGCAGUGGGGAAUAUUGCACAAUGGGCGCAAGCCUGAUGCAGCGACGCCGCGUGAGUGAAGAAGUAUUUCGGUAUGUAAAGCUCUAUCAGCAGGGAAGAUAAUGACAGUACCUGACUAAGAAGCUCCGGCUAAAUACGUGCCAGCAGCCGCGGUAAUACGUAUGGAGCAAGCGUUAUCCGGAUUUACUGGGUGUAAAGGGAGCGUAGGUGGUGUGGCAAGUCAGAUGUGAAAGCCCGGGGCUUAACCUCGGGACUGCAUUUGAAACUGCCAUACUAGAGUGCAGGAGAGGUAAGUGGAAUUCCUAGUGUAGCGGUGAAAUGCGUAGAUAUUAGGAGGAACACCAGUGGCGAAGGCGGCUUACUGGACUGUAACUGACACUGAGGCUCGAAAGCGUGGGGAGCAAACAGGAUUAGAUACCCUGGUA